Protopterus annectens (West African lungfish) is the source of this 115-nucleotide small nuclear RNA. RefSeq annotates it as U5 spliceosomal RNA. Lineage: Eukaryota; Metazoa; Chordata; Ceratodontiformes; Protopteridae. The transcript has a single exon. The record is from RefSeq and is a predicted model, not a curated record.
AACUCUGGAGGAUUUUAUGAGGGAUCUCAGCCUCAGUUUUUUACUGAGGCUGACCAGUGAGUUCCUCCAAUCAUGGGAUUUUACUCUUUUUUUGAAACAGUUUCUUUCUUCUGUU